Molecule: long non-coding RNA, 495 nt
Filed under: Homo sapiens (human)
Lineage: Eukaryota; Metazoa; Chordata; Mammalia; Primates; Hominidae
Description: HSALNT0231362
Source: RNAcentral
CUCAGGCCACAGCCACUGGGUUAAUGACGACUGUAUACCUGCCACCUGAAGGAGUCUAAGAGAAGAUCAGCACUGGGACAGAAGCCGAAAUGAAAAAAGAAGGAGGGAGCCAAGCUCAAAGAGGUGCAGUUGGUACCCCAAGGUCCCACAGUUAGAGAGUGAUGGAGCUGGAUUUGAACAAAGGCAGUCUGAUUCCGGGGCCCAUCUUCUGGAGCACCACACCUGAGGUGCAUGUUCCUACACAGGUGCUUUGCCAAAGAAGUGAGCACUGAAACGGCCUCCACUCUGCGCAGGCCACUGGGGCCAAAGCCAGCUCCUGGAGGUGACAAGAUUUCCUGUUGGUGUUUGUCCACAGAUAACAAGCCAUUCACCCUAAAGACAGGAAGGGAGGAAGGAAGGGGCAAACAAAAAUAUGGACAAAGAAAACUUUAAAGCCACUCUAAGAAAUAGAAACAGAGGCCCCCGGACACCCAACAGUCCAGGCCAGCUCUCCCG